UACGUAGGUGGCAAGCGUUGUCCGGAUUUAUUGGGUUUAAAGGGUGCGUAGGCGGUUUUGUAAGUCAGUGGUGAAAUAUGGCAGCUCAACUGUCAAGGUGCCAUUGAUACUGCAGAGCUUGAGUACAGAUGAGGUAGGCGGAAUUGACGGUGUAGCGGUGAAAUGCUUAGAUAUCGUCAAGAACACCUAUAGCGAAGGCAGCUUACUAGGCUGUAACUGACGCUGAGGCACGAAAGUGUGGGGAUCAAACAGG
RNAcentral lists this ribosomal RNA (253 nucleotides) under uncultured bacterium. RNAcentral's name for it is "partial 16S ribosomal RNA". It matches the Rfam family "Bacterial small subunit ribosomal RNA", at positions 524 to 776 of the family's 1533-position model. The record is from RNAcentral.